RNAcentral lists this transfer RNA (62 nucleotides) under Leptotrombidium akamushi. RNAcentral's name for it is "tRNA-Asp". Lineage: Eukaryota; Metazoa; Arthropoda; Arachnida; Trombidiformes; Trombiculidae. The record is from RNAcentral.
ACUUAAACAGUUAUUUACAUUAAACUGUCGGUUUAAAGAGGCUUUAUACAAAGCUUUAAGUG